GGUGUAGCAGCUGCUACACAGUAUGGUAAAGAGAAGGGACAACAGGACAGGAAACUAUCCCAAAACAGGAGAGUGUGACUUGGAACUGCAUGGCAUCUGCUAUCCCAACCAUGGGCUAUUCCCCAAUCUCAGAGCACUGGACACACAAACACUUAAAAGAGUGCAGCUUUGUGUAUGGCUUAUAACUGGGAAGAACUUUUAACUUUUGGAACUGACCUGAGAAUUUACUAUACUGGUAACCUAUCCAAGAAGAAAUGGAUUCCCUUGCUCCGCUCUUCUCUGUCCCAUUAACAGCAAGUGGUUAACAGCAAAGACUUUGGAGAAAGCAACACCUAGAUUUUUUUUGUUUCUUUUGAGACAG
RNAcentral lists this long non-coding RNA (361 nucleotides) under Heterocephalus glaber (naked mole-rat). RNAcentral describes it as "lncRNA (ENSHGLG00100039973.1)". The record is from RNAcentral. Lineage: Eukaryota; Metazoa; Chordata; Mammalia; Rodentia; Bathyergidae.